This is a long non-coding RNA of Hypomesus transpacificus, 1382 nucleotides long. RefSeq lists it as uncharacterized. The record is from RefSeq and is a predicted model, not a curated record. The transcript is spliced from 4 exons. Lineage: Eukaryota; Metazoa; Chordata; Actinopteri; Osmeriformes; Osmeridae.
AUCGACAACACAGCUGACAGGUUAGGCUCUCCCUGUCAAUACACAUGCUAGAAAGAGUUUUGGCUGGCUAAUGUUUUUGCUAAUGUUGCUUAUGCUUAUCAGCAUUCGUUAGCAGAAUGCUAGCAUGUUAUGGGCAAAAAGUAAAGUACAGAUACUAAAGUAAAGUACAUAUAUCCCAAAAAACGACUUAAGUACAGUAAUAAAGUAUUUCUACUUCGUUACAAUACAACACUGGAAAUCGGUGCAAAGUAAAUGUCGGCCCACAACACUCUGACCUCUUCUUUCCAUGGUCAAAACAAUGACAAUACAGGGUCUGAUUCUGUUUUUUCCAGCUGUUAUGGCAGCCACGAACUGCACAGUUGACACUGGGCAUCUCUAUUAGCCUUAAAUUAGUACCAGAGCCUGUUUAAGACAUUCUCUUUUAGUACCGUUAUAAAGCGGAAAGUAAACCGGAAAUGAGAAUACGCGGAUGGCCGCUCCCAUCGUGACUUCAAGAAUAAGGUGAAUAGGAAAGUCCUAAGAUCCCAAAGGGACUCAACCCCCUUCAAGCAGUACCUCGGCUUGAUGAGAUACAGUUUACAAUUUAAAUAUGUGUGUGUGGCACAAAACAGAAGAACACCCACAACAAACCAAAAUAUUAUAGAACUAAAAAACCUUGUCUAACAAAACAUUCUAGGUUCUCUCUGCCUGACAGCCCACAAUACUUGUUGGAAAGGUAUGGCCUUACCUAUAUAACACUUUCAUCCAGCCAUCCAUUAAUCCAUCAUCUUUUUCUGAUAUAAACGUGAAUAAAUGAACCCUUGCACUUUCUUUCUCUCUUGUUCUUAAUUUUAUUUUUUAAUUCUUUCUGUAACUUUUGUUCUCUCCAUACAAAUGUAACUGUUACCCACUUGUACUGUGCUAAUUUGACUUUUAGAACUGUAUUUGCUCACGGAAAACAUCUGAGCCGGACACUGACACAACCACACUUCCCUCCACGGACAAACUAGACAGAGAGUUUGGUAAAAAUUUGAGUAAAGCUGACUCAGAGGGCCCUUAAACCCGCAGGGAAGACCUACGCUAGUGCUGAGGAGCAGGCCAGGAGGAAGCAGCUGUGGUUGAGACCAAAAAGAUGGACUGUCAUGAGCUCCCAUGUUGACUCAUCCUUUCAAGAAGUACCUCGGCUUGAUGAGCUGCCUGGGGAGGUCUGCUGAAUUCACCUUAUUUCGUAAGCGUUGAAUAAGAAGACCAGACUUUGACCACAGGACAGCACACUGCAUAACACACCUUAAUUCAAUUUCAGCUCUGCGCACUCUGUAGUUUUUAGGCUACAUUAAGAAGCUCUCACAGCAAUGACCGCUUUCUUUUCAGCUGGGAUAUGGCUAGGAUGGGCUUUAAUGAUA